Molecule: non-coding RNA, 194 nt
Filed under: Pseudoalteromonas ulvae
Lineage: Bacteria; Pseudomonadati; Pseudomonadota; Gammaproteobacteria; Alteromonadales; Pseudoalteromonadaceae
Description: Lysine sequence
Rfam family: Lysine riboswitch aptamer
About the family: Riboswitches are metabolite binding domains within certain messenger RNAs that serve as precision sensors for their corresponding targets.
Source: Rfam by way of RNAcentral
AGGGCUAGAAGAGGUGCGUUAUUCAGGUAAUAAGUACGAGGAGAGCAAACUCCGUUGACCACUUAUGAGGGGAAUUAACGCCGAGAAUGCGUAUUGUUUGCUGCAAUACAAUUUCGGGCGACUGGGCUGAAUCCCAGCGACUGUCACCAAUAACAGCGAUGCUGUUGUAUGUUUGGUGGAGAGCUUCUGGUCUU